RNAcentral lists this ribosomal RNA (301 nucleotides) under uncultured bacterium. RNAcentral describes it as "partial 16S ribosomal RNA". It matches the Rfam family "Bacterial small subunit ribosomal RNA", at positions 509 to 807 of the family's 1533-position model. The record is from RNAcentral.
CAGUCGCCGCGGUAAUACGUAGGGUGCGAGCGUUAAUCGGAAUUACUGGGCGUAAAGCGUGCGCAGGCGGUUUUGUAAGACAGGCGUGAAAUCCCCGGGCUCAACCUGGGAAUGGCGCUUGUGACUGCAAAGCUAGAGUGCGGCAGAGGGGGAUGGAAUUCCGCGUGUAGCAGUGAAAUGCGUAGAUAUGCGGAGGAACACCGAUGGCGAAGGUAAUCCCCUGGGCCUGCACUGACGCUCAUGCACGAAAGCGUGGGGAGCAAACAGGAUUAGAUACCCCCGUAGUCCCUGUCUCUUAUAC